UGGGCAACCUGCCCCUCUCUCUGGGAUAACCCCCGGGGAAACCGGAGCUAAUACCGGAUACUCCGGCUGGAUCGCAUGGUCCGGCCGGGAAAGGUCCGCCGGAGAGGGAUGGGCCCGCGGCCUAUCAGCUCGUUGGUGGGGUCAUGGCUCACCAAGGCGACGACGGGUAGCUGGUCUGAGAGGAUGGCCAGCCACAUUGGGACUGAGACACGGCCCAGACCUCCGUACGGGAGGCA
This 236-nucleotide ribosomal RNA is filed under the name uncultured bacterium. RNAcentral's name for it is "partial 16S ribosomal RNA". It matches the Rfam family "Bacterial small subunit ribosomal RNA", at positions 118 to 350 of the family's 1533-position model. The record is from RNAcentral.